GGGUCCGUGUUGUGACCAGC
RNAcentral lists this small nuclear RNA (20 nucleotides) under Arabidopsis thaliana (thale cress). RNAcentral's name for it is "snRNA_01373". Lineage: Eukaryota; Viridiplantae; Streptophyta; Magnoliopsida; Brassicales; Brassicaceae. The record is from RNAcentral.